GAUGAACGCUAGCGACAGGCUUAACACAUGCAAGUCGAGGGGCAGCGAGGGCGUAGCAAUACGCCUGUCGGCGACCGGCGCACUGGUGAGUAACACGUAUGCGACCUGCCCCCUACAGGGGUAUAACCCGUAGAAAUGCGGACUAAUCCCCCAUAGUCCUGAGUGCUGCAUGGCAUUCAGGGGAAAGGCCAGCCGGUAGGGGAUGGGCAUGCGGCGCAUUAGCUAGUUGGUGAGGUAACGGCCCACCAAGGCGACGAUUGGUAGCCGGACUGAGAGGUUGAACGGCCACAUUGGGACUGAGACACGGCCCAGACUCCUACGGGAGGCAGCAGUGGGGGAUAUUGCACAAUGGGGGAAACCCUGACCCAGCAACGCCGCGUGAAGGAAGAAGGCCUUCGGGUUGUAACUUCUUUAGUCAGGACGAAGGACGUGACGGUACC
This 440-nucleotide ribosomal RNA is filed under the name uncultured bacterium. RNAcentral describes it as "bacterial SSU rRNA". It matches the Rfam family "Bacterial small subunit ribosomal RNA", at positions 28 to 479 of the family's 1533-position model. The record is from RNAcentral.